This 492-nucleotide ribosomal RNA is filed under the name uncultured bacterium. Its description in RNAcentral is "partial 16S ribosomal RNA". It matches the Rfam family "Bacterial small subunit ribosomal RNA", at positions 29 to 507 of the family's 1533-position model. The record is from RNAcentral.
AGUGAACGCUGGCGGUAUGCCUAACACAUGCAAGUCGAACGGCAGCACAGUAAGAGCUUGCUCUUACGGGUGGCGAGUGGCGGACGGGUGAGGUAUACAUCGGAAUCUACUUUUUCGUGGGGGAUAACGUAGGGAAACUUACGCUAAUACCGCAUACGACCUACUGGUGAAAGCAGGGGAUCUUCUGACCUUGCGCGAUUGAAUGAGCCGAUGUCGGAUUAGCUAGUUGGCGGGGUAAAGGCCCACCAAGGCGACGAUCCGUAGCUGGUCUGAGAGGAUGGUGCGACACCUUGGAAGUGAGAAACGGUACAGACUCCUACGGGAGGACGCAGUGGGGAAUAUUGGACAAUGGGGGAAAGCCUGAUACAGCCAUACCGGGUGAGUGAAGAAGGACUUAGGGUUGUAAAGCCAUUUUGUUGGGAAAGAAAAGCAGCAGGUUAAUACCCGGCUGUUCUGACGGUACCCAAAGAAUAAGCACCGGCUAACUUCGUG